GCGCGGCCUUGUAUUAACGAAAAACGGAUUCAAAAUCCGCCGGGUGCAAGCCCUUGUCGGUUCGAGUCCGACCGCCGGUACCA
This 83-nucleotide transfer RNA is filed under the name Halomonas fontilapidosi. Its description in RNAcentral is "tRNA-OTHER". The record is from RNAcentral. Lineage: Bacteria; Pseudomonadati; Pseudomonadota; Gammaproteobacteria; Oceanospirillales; Halomonadaceae.